RNAcentral lists this ribosomal RNA (492 nucleotides) under uncultured bacterium. RNAcentral's name for it is "partial 16S ribosomal RNA". It matches the Rfam family "Bacterial small subunit ribosomal RNA", at positions 29 to 507 of the family's 1533-position model. The record is from RNAcentral.
AGUGAACGCUGGCGGUAGGCCUAACACAUGCAAGUCGAACGGCAGCACAGUAAGAGCUUGCUGUGACGGGUGGCGAGUGGCGGACGGGUGAGGAAUACAUCGGAAUCUACUUUUUCGUGGGGGAUAACGUAGGGAAACUUACGCUAAUACCGCAUACGACCUACGGGUGAAAGCAGGGGAUCUUCGGACCUUGCGCGAUUGAAUGAGCCGAUGUGGGAUUGGCUAGUUGGCGGGGUAAAGGCCCACCAAGGCGACGAUCCGUAGCUGGUGUGAGAGGAGGGUAGCCCACACUGGAAGGUAGACGGGCUCAAGAGUACUACGGUAGGCAGCAGUGGGGAAUAGUGGACAAUAGUAGGAAGACUUGUCCAGCCAUACCGCGUGGGUGAAGAAGGCCUCGCGGUUGUAAAGCCCUUUUGUUGGGAAAGAAAAGCAGCAGGUUAAUACCCCGCUGUUCUGACGGUACCCAAAGAAUAAGCACCGGCUAACUUCGUG